GGCUGGGUAGCUCAGUGGUAGAGCAGAGGACUCAUAAACCUCUGGCCGGCGGUUCGACCCCGCCCCCAGCCA
RNAcentral lists this transfer RNA (72 nucleotides) under Chloroflexota bacterium. RNAcentral's name for it is "tRNA-Met". It matches the Rfam family "tRNA". From Rfam's summary of the family: Transfer RNA (tRNA) molecules are approximately 80 nucleotides in length. Their secondary structure includes four short double-helical elements and three loops (D, anti-codon, and T loops). The record is from RNAcentral. Lineage: Bacteria; Bacillati; Chloroflexota.